UUAUCCUGUGUCAAAGUCUGUUUAAUCUUUUAUGUAAAUACAAAUAGGUACAGAUCACGUGAUUAAUUUUCCUGCAGCACUGACAGUGCAGGAUAAAACAAACGUCAGUCCUAGAAACUAAUGUUAUGCCUUGUAUUUUAAACAUGCUCUUGUUUGGUGUUUCAAUAGUGAGGGAAAGGUGGUAGGCAGUACAAAUCAAAUGAAAUAACUAGCAAUGUCAUUGGCCAUACCAUAACUCAAGCAUAUACUUUGCCAGGUCAAAAGGGGAGAGAUUCCCACCCACACCCCCUCGCUUAGACUUUUUCACAUGAUUAAAUCAAGGGAGUUUGAGAGUGGGAUCAUUUUCCCCAUUCCAAAUAAUUAUUAAGAGUUAUUAAAGCUGGUUUUCGCAUGGGUGGGUUUACCUUGUCAACUCAAUAAAGGAAGGAACUUUGAGGGGACUGACCUUUGGGGUUCUUUCGAACAUCGUUUCAUCUGUGGGAAUAGCUGGCCCUGUUGUGUACUCCUGGGGGAGAUUCUGCUUGACUGCACGCCCCCAGAAAAUGCUCCCCUGCCCUGCAGAAUUCCUGUGCUUCCCUGCGGAAAAUGGCAGGGAAGCAAAGGGGGAUGACUAUGGGUGCAGUUUUUUGGGGGGAUUGCCCCCAUCCAAACAGAGGUUAGGCGUGGGGGGGGGUACACUGGGUUACGUGCCACUGCCGCACAUCCCUGCCCUCCAAUUUCUGCAGGCAGAGAGCUGCCCAACUGAAGAAGGCUGCCUUGUGUCGGCUUGCUUGCUAAUGCUCCUCCUAUGUCCUUGUGCCCGUUGGGCUCCCCUUCUAUGUGCUGAGAACCUUCGAGUUUUUUGUGCAACAGUGAGUGCCAGCUUAUGUGAUAGUGGCUCACCCAAGAGGAAGAGAAGCUAACUACAUAGUUUUGCUGGAACGACUCGUUGAAAUUGAACACGAGCUUUGUGUGCGCACACCUUUGUGUGAGUAACCGUCGCCCCUCCAUCAUCUUCCAGAGUUCAAGAUCAUGCCUAGAGUACAGGUUAGGAUCAGCAAUCCAGUCCUGUGCUCACGUCACUAGAUCGUGCUGCUCUCAAUCUGUUGUUGCAGUCAGCUUCCAAAAGAGGUGUGAAGUUGUCCUUGCUGGGCCAUGAUACUGUGAUCUUCACAGGCUGUGGAUGUCAUGGGGCUCAAAUGGGAGAGGGAGUUGGAGAAGUAUAAGAACCUGGAGGGAAGGCCUUGUGCCAUUGAAGUCAAUGGGAGUUCUGCCAUUGUCUUCAAAGGGACCAGGAUGUCACCCCUGUUUUUCAGAGGUGUGUCUGCACCUCCCAUUAGUUUUAAUGAGAGUUGGGAGUGGUCAGCAUCUCUGAAGAACCAGGUUUUAAGCUUAAAAUCCAGUAACUUCAGAACUGUGUAUUGCUGAAAGCACCAAAAUAACGAAGAUAAAAGUUUAAGAGUAUAUUUUCAAAUCGUCUUCAACUGUGCUGGUAUUUCUAUACCCUAAACUCCUCUCCCCCUCUCCACAAGGAUAGAUUUUCUGACAGUUUGAUUUCCUCCCCUCCCCCCAAAUUAGGAGUGCUAAACUAGGUUGAGUUUUGACUCAGUAUAGAACAAAAUGUUUGAAAAGUCAGGUAUACCUAACAGAAGGCUAACAAGGAUUUGUGAGUCCAUAAGUAACGAUGAGCACCAGAAAAAACACACUGAGCAUUCCAGGUAAGGAUGGGAGUUUAUGUUGCACUGGUUGUGGGACUUUUUGUUGUUUCCUGCCUGUUUCUCAGUAGCAUGUGUAGCAGUGGUUCUAAAAUGACUGGCAUUUAUCUGAUCCAGAAGUGACACACAUUACUUCAUUGUCAUGGGGUCAGUGACAAUUCGUCUCCAAAGCCCAGCCAGACAGUGCCCCUGGGUACAAUGGUCUGGUGGCAGACUUUACGUUGAUGGGCUGUGUUCUGCCAGGGAGGCAACCUCAUGAACACCUUAGCAGCAUGUUACAGCUUCACAGCCUUGAACAGAGCACAAAAGGCCUUUUCCUUUAUUGGAUAGAGGAAUGCUCAUACAGUACCAGCAUGUGCGUUAAAAGAUCGUCACAUGUUUCUUGAAGCAGGACAAGGCUAAUGACUUGCAGUUGUUUCCACCUUGAUUUUUAGUGGCAUUUCACAAAGUACAUUCCAGAGAUGAUGUAACAUAUGACCCUAAUAUAAUUAAGCAUAGCAAGAGUCAUAUGUAUCAGUUGUCCAGCAGUUAUAGUACAGUAAUGAUGUACACAGAUUAAGUUAACUAUCAGUCAGGUCACCAGCUGUGCACAGCAUAGCCUAUUCUGCAGGAAGAGGCUGCUGAAUUUAACAUAUAAAUAGAGAUAGUAAAUGUAAUGUCUUGAGGGCUGAGGAGCUGUCUUUUUCUGAGUAUCAAGUAACGGUUGACCUCCAUCAUUUUGUUGGCCAACCUCGGAGAACUAGUUUUUAAAUGAUAGUGGGUGUUUUUGUUUUCAGGAGAUGGUAAUACCUGGUUUUCAGGAGAGAGCUCCGACUCAUACCUGAUGCAUGUGAGACAUAGGUCUGUCCUGUGGAAAUCUAUCCAAUGUAACUGAAGGGCCUAGAUUAGAAGUAGUUAACACCAGGUUAUAUUUUAGCCUAUUUAAUAUUCAUUUCAGUUAAGAUUGAGCCCAAGGGAAGGUCCAGCAGCUGAGGACUUUGGCCAUAUGCUUUGUAGUAGUGGUUAGUUACUGAUUUAUAUAUUUUCAGACAGGUGGGGGUAUGAUACUACUGGACACACUUUAAUGUAAUUCUUCGCAACCAUGGUAUAUACAGAAUGGGACUUUCCUCCAAGUUAGUACCAGUUGUGCUGAUUAAUGUUGUCUACCUGUGUCUCUAUGCCACUGUUCCAUGUACUACAUCUCCUCAUUUAGGGCUGGACAAUUUAAGUUGUUGCCUAUUUAUUUUUCCACUUUAUAACACCUAUUCAGAGACCCAUACAAGGAUUUAAUCGGUGUUAACAUAUUGUCAUUAGCUCCUCUAAAAUCUGCCCCUCCACAGCUCUUGUUAGAGACAGUGUGUGAUAAUCCUACAGUUUUCUAGUUAUUUUAAAAUCAGCUCAUCUUUUAUCACAACUCAGGCUACACAUACUUCGGGUGUUUAAUUCAGGAGAGAGCAUGUCCUUUCUGUAGAGUAUUGUUUAGAUGAAUAUUUUAUUUUAUAUAACCCAAUUGUUUGCCCAAGGGGACACAGCCUAAAUUGUUUUAUAUAAAAUACUGUACUUCCUCAGAGAGAAGAUCUUUGAUACUUGACGUUAGUCUAGCAGACAAAUGCAUAAUGAGAUUCAGUGGCUGGAAGUUGGUUAGAAAAAUUCAGAUGGGAAAUAAGACGUACAUUUUUAACAGUAAGAUCAAUUGACUGUUGAAACAGAGUACAAAGGAUUGUAGUAAAUUCUCUACCACGUGGAAUUGUUAAACCAAAAUUGGAUAUCUUUCUGAAAGGUAUGGGAUGGUUCAAUUACUGGUAAUCAGGCUUGAUGCAGGAAUCAUUAGGUGACAUUCUAUGGCUUGUAUUAUGCAGAAAGUUACUCUAGAUGAUCAUAAUGGUCCCUUAAAAUGUAUGAAUUGCAUGUUGAUUAAAUCUGUAUGAUGUCUAAAUAAAACUACAUUUAUGAACUUGUCAGCCACAAUAGAACC
This is a non-coding RNA of Caretta caretta (loggerhead turtle), 3648 nucleotides long. The record is from RefSeq and is a predicted model, not a curated record. Lineage: Eukaryota; Metazoa; Chordata; Testudines; Cheloniidae.